UCUAAGCAAAAUAAGUUAGUACCCAGAAGAAAUUGCAACAAUAUAUAGUAAUGAUUUAAAACGUGCAAGGAAUCGAACGAUGCAACUAUUUCGAUUUUCCCUUAGCUAAAAAACAAGAGAAACGUAAUUGAAAAUUCCGUACAAAAAUUCACAUUUUUAAAUCGAACGCCACUGCAAUGACGUAUGUAUUGGCAUAUUUUGACAUGAGAGAUGCCGCUUGCUAUUUUGACAGAUGACGGCCGUGUAUUCAUCUAAAUAAUUGUGUCAUGAAUUCUUACAAAUUUGUUAUUUUGAAGAUUGGAAAUAGGUGCUAAACUUAAUAAAUUAUAAAGUCGUCUACUGUCGAAAACAGAUGCUACUCUUUCUGUCGUACUUGGUGGCGAAGAAACAGAUGUGAAAUUGUACAGUUAAAGAAUAUGAUGUUCGAGGCUGCUGCGUGUACGCUUCGGAGAUUGAAAAUGAAAACGAGUCGCCUGGGGUGUAAUGGAAUAACGUAGAAGAAAAUUCAACCUGCUCGAUUAUCAAAUCAUCUGGUAGGCCACCCCAGAACCGAUUUGUUCGUCUUGUCACAAAGUGGCCACUUUCAAAAAACUGGAGUACAUCGGGAUUGGACACCUUUAACGCGUGCAUAUCUUGAAGAUAAAUUUGAAUGCUCUUCGUGUAGUUAUUGUGACCUGCUGCUGGGAAGAAAGGUAGCAUCGUCUCGACGGACUUUAAAUGGAGCUGAAAAUUGGCUGAAUGCAAAUAACAGAUGAUUAAAAUACUGCGGAAAAAAUUUCGGAAGACAGUCUAACCUGUGCGAUCCGCUCUAACGUUGGUCCUAAAAAUGUCCAACAUUUUCAUGUAUUGUAUCCACAACUCGCAAGUUGCACCUUGCAUUUGUAAUUUGAUUUUUUCCGUGGACAGUGUUGAAUCCAUUUGAAUGAGUUCUUUGUUAUCGUUUAAAUCCAAUGCGCUUAAUUUUUUAUGGGCGACAUUAUCGUACAACGUAGCUGCAAAUUUAAUUGAAAUUUUACUUUUACACUAAAUUAAAUCAUGGAAAAGAAUGUUUCAAACGCGGCAACAUAAUUACACAGCCAAUUUUCGUCAUAGUAAUUUACAAACUUCUGUUAUCCCUAGAGUCGAACGUAGGUUUAGACUUCAAAAGCAUGUAAAAUUCAUUACAAAACUCGGGCUAAGUUACGUUUUCGUGUGAUUGUUGACCUAGGCUUAGCCUCGGAUCAACAAACUUUACUUGCAAAUUCUACUUUUCAGCUUUUUAUCCAUUUUCAUGUAAUUACCUGCCACAUGACAAGGGACGGAAAGCUAAAAAGUUCAGUUUGCGUGUGAUGUUAUACGAAAUUUUAUUUUCUAUCUCGAGUUUCGUAACGAAUAGUACAUGAUUCUAAUCCGACAGAUAUUUUUGAAGUAAAUAGUUUAUCGAAAAUUGGCUGUGGUGUUGGGCAGAGAAGCUUCAAGGGAGUGCAUAUAACACGGAUUAACGAUUGUGAUGUUAUAUUAGUCGAUUUGCCGUCAGUGUCAUUGUUAUUUUGAAUUGAAUAAAGAGCGAAAUUAGUAAAUGAGCCGAAGUA
Long non-coding RNA from Bradysia coprophila, 1571 nucleotides. RefSeq lists it as uncharacterized. NCBI's taxonomy places the organism in Eukaryota, Metazoa, Arthropoda, Insecta, Diptera, Sciaridae. The record is from RefSeq and is a predicted model, not a curated record.